RNAcentral lists this ribosomal RNA (395 nucleotides) under uncultured bacterium. RNAcentral describes it as "bacterial SSU rRNA". It matches the Rfam family "Bacterial small subunit ribosomal RNA", at positions 28 to 422 of the family's 1533-position model. The record is from RNAcentral.
GACGAACGCUGGCGGCGUGCCUAACACAUGCAAGUCGAACGGGACCAGGGGCAACUCUGGUUCAGUGGCGGACGGGUGCGUAACACGUGAGGAACAUGACCUUCGGCGGGGGAGUAGCCGGCCCAACGGCCGGGUAAUACCGCGUACGACCUUUCGGGGACAUCCCUGGAUGGUGAAAGCAGCAAUGCGCCGAUGGAGUGCCUCGCGGCCUAUCAGCUAGUUGGGUGGGGUAACGGCCCACCAAGGCAACGACGGGUAGCUGGUCUGAGAGGAUGGCCAGCCACAUUGGGACUGAGACACGGCCCAGACUCCUACGGGAGGCAGCAGUGGGGAAUAUUGCGCAAUGGACGAAAGUCUGACGCAGCGACGCCGCGUGUGGGAUGAAGGUCUUCGGA